Molecule: ribosomal RNA, 172 nt
Filed under: uncultured bacterium
Lineage: Bacteria
Description: partial 16S ribosomal RNA
Rfam family: Bacterial small subunit ribosomal RNA
Source: RNAcentral
GGAAUCGCUAGUAAUCGCAGAUCAGCAUGCUGCGGUGAAUACGUUCCCGGGCUUGUACACACCGCCCGUCAAACCAUGGGAGUUUGGAGCACCCGAAGUCAGUGGCCUAACCGAAAGGGAGGAGCUGCCGAAGGUGAGCCAGAUAACUGGGGUUAAGUCGUAACAAGGUACC